AACGAACCGAAAAAUUAUUUUCGGCAUGAAAAAUAUUUUUUCACUCGUUUGGUUCGACAUAAAAAUAGUUUUUUCUAAAAAUAUUUUUACGGAUUUAGGAAAAAAUUGAAUUUUUCAUUUUCAGCUAUUUUUCGGCGGAAAACGAAAACUCAAGUUGUAUAAGAUUUUUUUCAUUAAUUUUUUUUUCAUCGAACUAAACAAAUGUGAAUUUUUUUUUCCUUUCAACUAGAUAAAUAUUGAUAAAAAAUUACUUUGUUUUUUUUCCUACAAACUAAACAGUACAAAACGAAAAUUUUUCCCACCAAUUUUUCUUUUAAAAUGUAAAAUUACGUUUUA
RNAcentral lists this long non-coding RNA (336 nucleotides) under Ananas comosus (pineapple). Its description in RNAcentral is "long non-coding RNA (ACOM_LNC035808)". Lineage: Eukaryota; Viridiplantae; Streptophyta; Magnoliopsida; Poales; Bromeliaceae. The record is from RNAcentral.